UACAGAGGGUGCAAGCGUUAAUCGGAAUUACUGGGCGUAAAGCGUGCGUAGUCGGUUAUUUAAGUCGGAUGUGAAAUCCCCGGGCUCAACCUGGGAAUUGCAUUCGAUACUGGAUAGCUAGAGUUCGGCAGAGGGAAGCGGAAUUUCUGGUGUAGCGGUGAAAUGCGUAGAUAUCAGAAGGAACACCAGUGGCGAAAGCGGCUCC
This 205-nucleotide ribosomal RNA is filed under the name uncultured bacterium. RNAcentral describes it as "partial 16S ribosomal RNA". It matches the Rfam family "Bacterial small subunit ribosomal RNA", at positions 524 to 728 of the family's 1533-position model. The record is from RNAcentral.